UAUACUGUCUUGUAAAACUGAGGCGUUAUAUCUAUUCAAGUUCAGUCAUAGAUUCACCUCAGUUAAAAAACUACAUUCACCCCAAAUUAGACAUUACCCCAGCAUUUGCUGAAUCUACAGGAAGGUCAUCAUUUCUUUUUGUGAGCUAAUUAUUCAAUUCCUAUAUAUUUUUGUCGAGAGUAUUUGAUCUUUAAAAAUUUCACUGUUGUUCACAGGGAGUGAAUCUUUUUGAACCCUGAUUCUUGGAUGGGCUUGCUAAUCUCCUAAUGGUUUCAUUUCACCUCAGGAGCUGAUCCUUUAAAGUGGAUGACUGAGUGGAGGGGAGGGUAGAGCAAGUGCUUGAUAGCUAGGCCCAUACCUGGUAAAUGUCUUACCUGGGCUUGGUGCUUUGAGGUCUGAAUUGUUUCUAAAUGCCCCUUGGGAUGUGUGGAAUCUUACGACCCAUUACAAGAACAGGAGCGCAUUAAUCUUCUCUGACAACUCUUCUCUUUUAGACGUCGGGGAUCUUCGACCCGUUCUUUUAGUAGGGAAUUGAAUAACUUCUUCAAGGGAGGUUGACACUCCUUAUAUUUCGGCCAGUAUCAGCGAGAUUCAAUAAGUUUCAUGAAUGUCUUCCGAACCUGGUAUUCUCUAGAGAUGUCUCCAUGCCAGCAUUCUCCAUUGAGGCAGAACAACUCUCAUCAAUCUUUUCUCAUCACUCCUCAAUCCAUGCAGCCAGCUUUUCUGCAAGCUUCUCUUCGUGUCUCCCAUAAAGUCGAAUUAAACAGGACUGGGCAAUUCUGAAAGGACCAAGGAGCCUACCUAUAAGCUGAUGACAGGCAGAUCUUCCACUGUCUGCCCUUUCAGGUUCUGGAAACUGACCCGUGAUCUCAGGUCUUUGGGCAGUAUCUCGAUCUGACAUAACUUCCCGAACAAAUGAACUAUGACAAGCUCCACAGAUGGCGUCAGCCCCUCCAUCACACUGAUCCACCCACAGAAUUCUGCCCAGUUUCCUUGGAUCCACCAGCCACAACAAGCCUCGUGGUACCCACCAUCAUUCCACCUGGCAUCCAACCGGACCCACCACAACAGACAACGCAAUCCAGAUCCCUGAGACUCAGCGUGAGACAUCAUCCGUAGCCCUAACCCUCAUUUAUUGCUGCCUCUGCCAGCUCAAAUUUGGCAGAUCGGGUCUUUGGUCUCAGAAUCAAUUGUGGGAAUAUUUUGUGCUGAUUUCUUUGAGUCCUGUCAGCCAAGCAUCUGCUGUGCACUCUUCUAACACUCAGUGCAUCACCUUCAAUCCCAUGUGUGCUGUCCACUUGAGAGUGUGAGUCCAGGAUUCUGAGGCCUCAUCCUGUCUUUGGAAGUAACAGACCACUCUUCGGCAAGUGUCCUGUGCCAAGGGCUGGACGUCAGGAAUCUUGGACCUGUUCUUGGAGCAGGGAAUUGAGUAACUUCUUCAAGGUCACGUUGAC
This is a long non-coding RNA of Camelus dromedarius (Arabian camel), 1454 nucleotides long. RefSeq lists it as uncharacterized. The record is from RefSeq and is a predicted model, not a curated record. Lineage: Eukaryota; Metazoa; Chordata; Mammalia; Artiodactyla; Camelidae. The transcript is spliced from 4 exons.